GGUGGGUAGAGGGAGAGGGAGAGAAUCUCAAGCAGGCUCCUUGAUGAGUGCAGAGCUCUGCGUGGGCUCCAUCUCGCGACCCUGACAUCAUGACCUGAGCUGAAAUCAAGAGUCAGACAGUUCACUGACUGAGCCACCCAGGUGUCCUCAAAGCAGGCAACUUUUAUACCUUUUAGAGAAAUAGCAAAUUUGUGAAAAAUUGACAAAAGAAAGAUGUUUGGGCUUGAAGUAGUAAAUCAGUGAGGCAGUAACAAGCUUUGCUCACGUCUUCUCAGCUCUAACUUCCCUGUCUAGGUCCCUGACACAGGGAGGGUACCUUUCACAUCAGAGACUUACUUUCUGCCUUCAAGGAGGAAAAGGAGGUUCAAGCUGUCCUUCUUGCACUGGUUAUUUCUUAAGAAACUCAAAUUAAAAAUAACCCUUAGGUGAAGUGGUGUAUUUUAGGGUGCCAUAUUAUGCCCCUUUCAGGAACCAGUUAGUUUACAGGGUGACACACUGCCUACACCCCUCCUCUGAUGGUUGGAAAUUGGGCAGCUGUUGCUUUAAGAAGCACUCCUUGUUUGAGUGAGUCAUCUCUGUCUUCUUGCUUUGGAAAUCGAAUUUAUUUUCUAGAUCUUUCAGUCGAGGAAUUUUCUUUCUUGCUUGCUUGCUGCUCUUGUCUUUUGUGAUUUUCUUUCAAGCCCUGCUGAACUCCCUAAUAAAUUCUGAACGUGGAGAAUAGGAAGUAAGUCCCCUGGGGGAGGAAGAAAGUGCAGUUAUCGAAAGUAAAAGAAAACUUCUUCCUGGAGGUGUUUCCAUCUGCACCCUUCUCAUCCCCGCCCUCUUUCAAGGGAUUUUUCUCGUUGUGUGGACAAGCCCUAAGAGUUUGUGGGAAAUUAGGCAGUUCAGGGGUGCAGUGGGCACUUGGUGACUGUGAUGUGGCUGGGACAAGGUGGAGCAGGUGAAGAGGCACCUUCAGACACCUCAUUUAAUCGUCUCAGCUCUAAGGUGAGUCUCUGCCCUCAGAAAGCUAAUAUUCUAUUUGGGGAAAGAAAAAGGACAGUUUCAAAGAAGAGAGGUGUUCAAUUGUUUUUCUUUCUACUUUUAACAUCGGAACACAUCUCAGCUGAUUCACAGCAAAGAGGCUAG
This 1128-nucleotide long non-coding RNA is filed under the name Canis lupus familiaris (dog). Its description in RNAcentral is "lncRNA (ENSCAFG00000057947.1, ENSCAFG00805020042.1)". Lineage: Eukaryota; Metazoa; Chordata; Mammalia; Carnivora; Canidae. The record is from RNAcentral.